GAUGAACGCUGGCGGCGUGCCUAAUACAUGCAAGUCGAGCGAACGGACGAGAAGCUUGCUUCUCUGAUGUUAGCGGCGGACGGGUGAGUAACACGUGGAUAACCUACCUAUAAGACUGGGAUAACUUCGGGAAACCGGAGCUAAUACCGGAUAAUAUUUUGAACCGCAUGGUUCAAAAGUGAAAGACGGUCUUGCUGUCACUUAUAGAUGGAUCCGCGCUGCAUUAGCUAGUUGGUAAGGUAACGGCUUACCAAGGCAACGAUGCAUAGCCGACCUGAGAGGGUGAUCGGCCACACUGGAACUGAGACACGGUCCAGACUCCUACGGGAGGCAGCAGUAGGGAAUCUUCCGCAAUGGGCGAAAGCCUGACGGAGCAACGCCGCGUGAGUGAUGAAGGUCUUCGGAUCGUAAAACUCUGUUAUUAGGGAAGAACAUAUGUGUAAGUAACUGUGCACAUCUUGACGGUACCUAAUCAGAAAGCCACGGCUAACUACUUG
This 497-nucleotide ribosomal RNA is filed under the name uncultured bacterium. RNAcentral's name for it is "partial 16S ribosomal RNA". It matches the Rfam family "Bacterial small subunit ribosomal RNA", at positions 28 to 507 of the family's 1533-position model. The record is from RNAcentral.